GUGUCGGUUUAGCUCAACGGUUACUUCUCGAACAAAUUCUCCGUAACUCCAGAGUUGCGGGUUCGACCAUGGGCGCUGUCCGAUGCUUUU
This 90-nucleotide vault RNA is filed under the name Betta splendens (Siamese fighting fish). Its description in RNAcentral is "Vault RNA (ENSBSLG00000008267.1)". It matches the Rfam family "Vault RNA". From Rfam's summary of the family: This family of RNAs are found as part of the enigmatic vault ribonucleoprotein complex. The complex consists of a major vault protein (MVP), two minor vault proteins (VPARP and TEP1), and several small untranslated RNA molecules. Lineage: Eukaryota; Metazoa; Chordata; Actinopteri; Anabantiformes; Osphronemidae. The record is from Rfam by way of RNAcentral.